GUAAAUUAUCAGUGGAUAUUUUAUUACAAUUAAUUAUUUAACACUAAUUUUUAAAAUUUAAUUAGAAAAAUCCUUAUGUUUUAAUCCUUAAUUUGUAAUCUUGUAUAGUAAUAUUAUUUAUUACCUGUAAUUUCUGUGUACUGUGUAAAAGUUUUAGAAAAUACUAUAAAUCUUCAUGUUCAACAGAUGAAGUCACUUGACAAUGUAGUACCAACAGAGAGAAAAACCGAAGCUAUUUUGGCAGUUUCCAAGCAAUCAAAUAAGAGAUCAAAUGAAC
This 277-nucleotide unclassified non-coding RNA is filed under the name Hevea brasiliensis (rubber tree). Lineage: Eukaryota; Viridiplantae; Streptophyta; Magnoliopsida; Malpighiales; Euphorbiaceae. The record is from RNAcentral.